This 243-nucleotide long non-coding RNA is filed under the name Lathyrus oleraceus (garden pea). RNAcentral describes it as "Pisum sativum (pea) long non-coding RNA (PSAT_LNC010897)". Lineage: Eukaryota; Viridiplantae; Streptophyta; Magnoliopsida; Fabales; Fabaceae. The record is from RNAcentral.
CUCUACAGUUUUUUAUUAUUUAGUUUUUUCAUUUUAAUUCUUUUUUAGUUUAUCUUAGUUUAUACAUUUAAGUUAGCAUUAAAAUAUUAGUUAGUUAGUAAGUGGUCUGGUGGAGGGGAGUGGCUUUUAGAUUUAGUGUAGUGGGUUCGAUACUCCUAGGUGUAGUUUUUCUUUCUUUUAAUAUUUUCUUUUAUAUUUAUGCUUUAUUAUUCAUAUUUCUUUUUUUUAUUAUUGUUUAAUAAU